CCUACGGGCGGCAGCAGUGGGGAAUAUUGGACAAUGGGCGAAAGCCUGAUCCAGCCAUGCCGCGUGUGUGAAGAAGGCCUUCGGGUUGUAAAGCACUUUCAGUGGGGAAGAAAGCCUUGGGGCUAAUACCCUCGAGGAAGGACAUCACCCACAGAAGAAGCACCGGCUAACCCCGUGCCAGCAGCCGCGGUAAUACGGAGGGUGCGAGCGUUAAUCGGAAUUACUGGGCGUAAAGCGCGCGUAGGCGGUCUGAUAAGCCGGUUGUGAAAGCCCCGGGCUCAACCUGGGAACGGCAUCCGGAACUGUCAGGCUAGAGUGCAGGAGAGGAAGGUAGAAUUCCCGGUGUAGCGGUGAAAUGCGUAGAGAUCGGGAGGAAUACCAGUGGCGAAGGCGGCCUUCUGGACUGACACUGACGCUGAGGUGCGAAAGCGUGGGUAGCAAACAGGAUUAGAUACCCUGGUAGUC
RNAcentral lists this ribosomal RNA (465 nucleotides) under Vreelandella stevensii. RNAcentral's name for it is "partial 16S ribosomal RNA". It matches the Rfam family "Bacterial small subunit ribosomal RNA", at positions 338 to 795 of the family's 1533-position model. Lineage: Bacteria; Pseudomonadati; Pseudomonadota; Gammaproteobacteria; Oceanospirillales; Halomonadaceae. The record is from RNAcentral.